Molecule: ribosomal RNA, 499 nt
Filed under: uncultured bacterium
Lineage: Bacteria
Description: partial 16S ribosomal RNA
Rfam family: Bacterial small subunit ribosomal RNA
Source: RNAcentral
ACUCAAAGGAAUAGACGGGGGCCCGCACAAGCGGUGGAGCAUGUGGUUCAAUUCGACGCAACGCGAAGAACCUUACCUGGGCUCGAACGGCUUCUUAACGGGGGUGGAAACACCUCUAUCCCGCAAGGGAGUGGAGUCGAGGUGCUGCAUGGCUGUCGUCAGCUCGUGUCGUGAGAUGUUGGGUUAAGUCCCGCAACGAGCGCAACCCUUGUCCUGUGUUGCCAUGCCGAAAGGCGGAACUCGCAGGAGACCGCCAGCGAUAAGCUGGAGGAAGGUGGGGAUGACGUCAAGUCCUCAUGGCCUUUAUGUCCAGGGCUACACACGUGCUACAAUGGCCGGUACAAAGCGUUCCCAAGCCGCGAGGUGGAGGCAAUCGCAGAAAGCCGGUCUCAGUUCGGAUUGCAGGCUGCAACUCGCCUGCAUGAAGCUGGAAUCGCUAGUAAUGGCGGAUCAGCAUGCCGCCGUGAAUACGUUCCCGGGCCUUGCACACACCGCCCGU